CUACGGGACGCUGCAGUGGGGGAUAUUGCGCAAUGGGGGAAACCCUGACGCAGCAAUGCCGCGUGAAGGAAGAAGGUCUUCGGAUUGUAAACUUUUGUCUUCAGGGACGAAACAAAUGACGGUACCUGAGGAGGAAGCCACGGCUAACUACGUGCCAGCAGCCGCGGUAAUACGUAGGUGGCAAGCGUUGUCCGGAUUUACUGGGUGUAAAGGGCGUGUAGGCGGGAUUGUAGGUCAGAUGUGAAAUACCCGGGCUUAACCCGGGGGCUGCAUUUGAAACCACAGUUCUUGAGUGCUGGAGAGGGAAGCGGAAUUCCUAGUAUAGCGGUGAAAUGCGUAGAUAUUAGGAGGAACACCAGUGGCGAAGGCGGCUUUCUGGACAGUAACUGACGCUGAGGCGCGAAAGCGUGGGGAGCAAACAGGAUUAGAUACCCCCGUAGUC
RNAcentral lists this ribosomal RNA (442 nucleotides) under uncultured bacterium. RNAcentral's name for it is "partial 16S ribosomal RNA". It matches the Rfam family "Bacterial small subunit ribosomal RNA", at positions 339 to 795 of the family's 1533-position model. The record is from RNAcentral.